This is a non-coding RNA of Podarcis lilfordi (Lilford's wall lizard), 78 nucleotides long. Lineage: Eukaryota; Metazoa; Chordata; Lepidosauria; Squamata; Lacertidae. The record is from the annotation of a GenBank genome assembly.
AUCUUUUGGAUAGCUCAGUUGGUUAGAGCAUGGUGCUGAUAAUGCCAAGGUCACAGGUUCAAUCCCUGGUAUGGGACA